This 813-nucleotide ribosomal RNA is filed under the name Leifsonia shinshuensis. RNAcentral's name for it is "bacterial SSU rRNA". It matches the Rfam family "Bacterial small subunit ribosomal RNA", at positions 631 to 1441 of the family's 1533-position model. The record is from RNAcentral. Lineage: Bacteria; Bacillati; Actinomycetota; Actinomycetes; Micrococcales; Microbacteriaceae.
UACGGGCAGACUAGAGUGCGGUAGGGGAGAAUGGAAUUCCUGGUGUAGCGGUGGAAUGCGCAGAUAUCAGGAGGAACACCGAUGGCGAAGGCAGUUCUCUGGGCCGUAACUGACGCUGAGGAGCGAAAGCGUGGGGAGCGAACAGGAUUAGAUACCCUGGUAGUCCACGCCGUAAACGUUGGGCGCUAGAUGUGGGGACCAUUCCACGGUUUCCGUGUCGCAGCUAACGCAUUAAGCGCCCCGCCUGGGGAGUACGGCCGCAAGGCUAAAACUCAAAGGAAUUGACGGGGGCCCGCACAAGCGGCGGAGCAUGCGGAUUAAUUCGAUGCAACGCGAAGAACCUUACCAAGGCUUGACAUACACGAGAACGCCCUAGAAAUAGGGAACUCUUUGGACACUCGUGAACAGGUGGUGCAUGGUUGUCGUCAGCUCGUGUCGUGAGAUGUUGGGUUAAGUCCCGCAACGAGCGCAACCCUCGUUCUAUGUUGCCAGCGCGUAAUGGCGGGAACUCAUAGGAGACUGCCGGGGUCAACUCGGAGGAAGGUGGGGAUGACGUCAAAUCAUCAUGCCCCUUAUGUCUUGGGCUUCACGCAUGCUACAAUGGCCGGUACAAAGGGCUGCAAUACCGUAAGGUGGAGCGAAUCCCAAAAAGCCGGUCUCAGUUCGGAUUGAGGUCUGCAACUCGACCUCAUGAAGUCGGAGUCGCUAGUAAUCGCAGAUCAGCAACGCUGCGGUGAAUACGUUCCCGGGCCUUGUACACACCGCCCGUCAAGUCAUGAAAGUCGGUAACACCCGAAGCCGGUGGCCCAACCC